CACGUGAGUAACCUGCCCCAGACUCUGGGCUUCAUCGGGAAACCGGUGCUAAUACCGGAUAUGAGACGAGAUUGCAUGAUCAUCGUCUGGAAAGAUUUAUCGGUCUGGGAUGGACUCGCGGCCUAUCAGCUAGUUGGUGAGGUAAUGGCUCACCAAGGCGACGACGGGUAGCCGGCCUGAGAGGGCGACCGGCCACACUGGAACUGAGACACGGUCCAGACUCCUACGGGAGGCAGCAGUGGGGAAUAUUGCACAAUGGGCGCAAGCCUGAUGCAGCAACGCCGCGUGGGGGAUGAAGGCCUUCGGGUUGUAAACCCCUUUUAGCAGGGAAGAAGCGAAAGUGACGGUACCUGCAGAAAAAGCGCCGGCUAACUACGUGCCAGCAGCCGCGGUAAUACGUAGGGCGCAAGCGUUGUCCGGAAUUAUUGGGCGUAAAGAGCUCGUAGGCGGUUUGUCGCGUCUGCUGUGAAAGUCCGAGGCUCAACCUCGGAUCUGCAGUGGGUACGGGCAGACUAGAGUGUGGUAGGGGAGACUGGAAUUCCUGGUGUAGCGGUGGAAUGCGCAGAUAUCAGGAGGAACACCAAUGGCGAAGGCAGGUCUCUGGGCCAUAACUGACGCUGAGGAGCGAAAGCGUGGGGAGCGAACAGGA
This 649-nucleotide ribosomal RNA is filed under the name uncultured bacterium. Its description in RNAcentral is "bacterial SSU rRNA". It matches the Rfam family "Bacterial small subunit ribosomal RNA", at positions 114 to 777 of the family's 1533-position model. The record is from RNAcentral.